UUGCACUAGUGCUCCAGG
RNAcentral lists this unclassified non-coding RNA (18 nucleotides) under Chlamydomonas reinhardtii. RNAcentral's name for it is "small RNA Cre_3931". Lineage: Eukaryota; Viridiplantae; Chlorophyta; Chlorophyceae; Chlamydomonadales; Chlamydomonadaceae. The record is from RNAcentral.